CUUAAUUCCAGGUGGUAAAAUAAAAAAAAACAAAUCCUCAAUCAAUAAAAUAUUAAAAAAGCUUUUUAAAUAAUGUGACUGGUACAAGGUAAAAUUUCAUUCAAUUUGGUUCAACUGUUCACUCUUUUAUAUCUGGGAACACCAAAACUAACUAUUUUUUAGGAAAAAAAGGACCACAUCUUCAGAACUCUUCAUUCAAAAUCAGCCAA
RNAcentral lists this long non-coding RNA (209 nucleotides) under Mytilus galloprovincialis (Mediterranean mussel). Lineage: Eukaryota; Metazoa; Mollusca; Bivalvia; Mytilida; Mytilidae. The record is from RNAcentral.